CUUUUUAUUUGCCCACUUAAAAUUUUUCAUUUCCCACUACACAAAUUUCAUUUCCCACUCCACAAAACUCUCUCAUUUUCUCUUUAUCUCUCACACAGCCUCUCACAUUCACACACGCACUACCCUGCCGACACUGAUGAGCAGAGCCCAGCCUAGCGCCGAUGUGCCGAGCCGAGUCGAGCCAAACCCAGUGCUGACGAGGACGAGCCCAGCCCAGCCCAGCGACGUCGCUGACGAGGCCGAUCCUAGCCAUCGACUCCUCUCCUCCUCGAUCUCUCUACCAUCAACCCAUACCCAUUGGCUCUCUCUCCCUCACCACAUGAUUCUUUCUCCCUUUCUCCCUUUCUCCCUCUCUCCCCUUACCAACCCCAUACCCAUUCAUUUUUCCUCACCAUACCCAUACCCAUACCCAUUCCGAUUUUGCUUGGGUACUAGUGCACUAAAGCAUGAAGAGAAGGGCAAAUGGAUUAAGACAAAAUCUUGUGCAGCUGGCUUUAGUAUAGUAAGUAUUCUAAUAUUGAAUAUUUGUAAGCUUGUUUAGUGAAAAAGUUGGCAUCAUACAAUUUUUAAGGAGCAAAGGUUCCAAUGACAUUUGUGGCAGUGGGGGGAGCUCAUCUACUAAAUAGAACACAUUUUGGUUAGUGUUUUAUUUUCCUGCCUAGUAAGCAAGGUUUAUUAACCUCUCAUUGUCUUGGAUAUUUGUGGAAUUUUGAGGUCUUACAAACAUUUUUUUGGUUGCAAAUGGUUUAGGUACUCUUGGAUAUUCUCUUGACAUCUUAGGGAUCUAGGACAUUCUUUUUUUUGGUUUCAUUUUAGGGAUCUAUGAAAUUCAUUUUUUACUUUCAAACUAACAUUAAAAAAUGUUAGUUUGGAGACAUUUGUAGUGUUGUUAAUUAGUUACAUUUGUGGUAUUGUCUCAGUAGAGCUAAAAUUAUUACAGGUUUUUUGUAAUAGGUUUGUGGUUUUAAAACCCAGGGAAAAAAAAAAAUUUUAACCUAUAGCGGUGGGCAACAAGCACCGCUAAAGGUCUAAAAUUAUGUUUUAAAUGAAGCCCUAUAGCGGCAUUUAUGGCUCGCCGCUAAAGCUUAACACAUAGUGGCGGUCAUAACCGCCUCUAAGAGGUGCAUAUGCUCUGUUUUUACAUGAAGCCCUAUAGUGGCGCUUAUUACCCGCCGUUAAAGGUUGUCACCUAUAGCGGCACACAUAACCCACCACUGAAGGUCAAUUGACCUGAAUUCUAACAUCAUAUGGCGGCGGUUUUCUGCUCGCCACAAUAAAUCAAAACUGCACUAAAAGGUGCAUCUGCAGUGGCACUUUUUGUUACCGCCGCAAUAGAUCUACAGCGGCACCGCAACGGUGACGGGAAGGAUUACCGCAAUAACACCCGCUGCAAUAGCCUGUUUUUCUUGUACUGUGCUAAAAAGGAUAAGUGGAUAUUAAGAAAUUUCAAUUAAGAUAGGAGUAGUCUUUAUUGAUGAAAGGAUGAGGAAGAGUCACUUAAAAUCGUUCGAUCAUAUGCAAAGGAGAGCAGUCAGUGCACCAGCAAAAAAGAGUUUAUCCAAUUGAGAGAAUUGAAAAAGAUAGAAGAAGACCAAAAAUAAUAAAGAAUACAUGUAUAUGACUCUAAAUAGAAUAGAAUGGACACAGAAUUCAUAUGAUGGGUUUUGGAAAUUUAUAUUUUUUUUGAGCUUUUACAUGGCAUAAAAGAAUAGAUAUUUCUCACUUCUUAUGGAUUUGUUAUUCUUUAAAAAUAACUAUUCAAUUCUUCUUAAAAAGUAAAAAGGGAAAAACUAUUCACUAUAAUUAAAAUAUAGAAUGUAGCCAAAUAACCAUUCACGAUGAAUAGUCAUAUUCAUAUGCAUGUGUACCAAAAUGUGAAUAUAAUACAUGAAACACAUGCACUAGUAGCACGCUGAUUCUUUAUAAGUUAUCUUUCUUUUUCACUUUCAAUUCCAGGGUUGAAGUUAAAACAGGAAAACUCAAAGCAAUCUCAAGCCCAUGAACUGUUUAAACAAUGUCUUCAGGCUUACAAAAAUGAUGUCGAGAAUUUUGACGAAAUCCCAGAAAUUUUACAAGUUUUGUCUGUCGCAGCAGAAGUAGGCAAUGUUGAGUUCUUGGUCAAGCUUAUUUGUUUUGACUCUGAUCUAUUAUGGAAAACAAAUAACAAAAAAAGCAUAUUUCACAUUGCUGUUGAGAAGCGCCAUGAAAGCAUAUUCAAACUACUAAUAGGUCCAAUUAGAGAUAUAAUAGUAGAUAAAAUACAUGAAGAUGGAAACAAAAUAUUGCAUUUAGCUGCAAGAUUGGCACCUCAAGAGAAGCUCAAUGCUAUAUCAGGAGCAGCUCUCCAAAUGUAGCGAGCAAUAUUAUGGUUCAAGUUACUUAUUCAUAUGUAUUUAAUAAGUUUUGAACUAGUAAAUAGUACAUGAGGUAGCAGUAAAUUUAAGAUUAAAUCUAAUGUACAUAUUUCAAUUCUAUUUAAUGGAUAUGUUGCCUUGAGAAUUGUUUAGAUUAAA
Long non-coding RNA from Quercus lobata, 2513 nucleotides. RefSeq lists it as uncharacterized. The transcript is spliced from 2 exons. Lineage: Eukaryota; Viridiplantae; Streptophyta; Magnoliopsida; Fagales; Fagaceae. The record is from RefSeq and is a predicted model, not a curated record.